CAGCCGUACUAUGCUGAAAGCACCAGCUCUCGUCUGAUUACCGCAGUGAAGCAGCAUCAUUCGCGGUCAGUAGUUGAGAGGGUGACCACUUGGGAACC
Non-coding RNA from Araneus ventricosus, 98 nucleotides. The record is from the annotation of a GenBank genome assembly. NCBI's taxonomy places the organism in Eukaryota, Metazoa, Arthropoda, Arachnida, Araneae, Araneidae.